Molecule: unclassified non-coding RNA, 364 nt
Filed under: uncultured Ascomycota
Lineage: Eukaryota; Fungi; Ascomycota
Also listed under: 1 other name
Description: sequence contains ITS2
Rfam family: 5.8S ribosomal RNA (bases 1-154)
Source: RNAcentral
AACUUUUGGCAACGGAUCUCUUGGUUCUGGCAGCGAUGAAGAACGCAGCGAAAUGCGAUAAGUAAUGUGAAUUGCAGAAUUCAGUGAAUCAUCGAAUCUUUGAACGCACAUUGCGCCCUCUGGUAUUCCGGGGGGCAUGCCUGUUCGAGCGUCAUUAUAACCACUCAAGCUCUCGCUUGGUAUUGGGGUUCGCGGUUUCGCGGCCCCUAAAAUCAGUGGCGGUGCCUGUCGGCUCUACGCGUAGUAAUACUCCUCGCGAUUGAGUCCGGUAGGUUUACUUGCCAACAACCCCUAAUUUUUUAAGGUUGACCUCGGAUCAGGUAGGGAUACCCGCUGAACUUAAGCAUAUCAAUAAGCGGAGGCU